This is a long non-coding RNA of Fukomys damarensis (Damara mole-rat), 2662 nucleotides long. NCBI's taxonomy places the organism in Eukaryota, Metazoa, Chordata, Mammalia, Rodentia, Bathyergidae. The record is from Ensembl.
CUCUGGAGUGUAUCGCUUAGGGAACCGUGCUCAGGCGACGCUGCAGGUGUUGUCGCACACACGGCACGUCCAGAAUCGCGCGUGGGGCGCCCAGCAUGCUGGUGGGCUCAGCGGGACCCCCACCCGCCUCUGGAGUCUGCCCCACCGGCCUGGAAGGAGCCGCAGAGGCCCGGGGAGGCCCAGCUUGCAGGCCGCCCCCCAUUUCCUAAAAUGUUGGAGUUUGGUUUUUUUCUCAGUUCAGCUUUCCUUUUCUGGAGUGGCGUCUCAGCAGAUUCGGUUCUACCAUCUGGUAACACUGAGAACCCCAGGGAGAGAGGGCCCCUCUGGGGAGCGGUGCCUCGGGCAGCCUGGCCCUGUACACCCCUCAGGCCUUGAGCCAGGAGCACCCCAGCUGGCACCCGGAACCACUGCCUCUGCGGCCCAGCACCCACACCCUUGGACCACUUGCACCCCCAGCAGCUUUGAAGAGAGCACACCUGCGCCCGCUGAGCUGCACUCCGUGGUAACAAUCAGGAGAGAGCAGUUCUAGGAUGUCUGCCUCUGCCAGGUAGAGACCCCCACGCGCCCCUUUUUCAGGUGGUGAAGCUGAGGCUGGGGCAGAAAGGCCACCCGUGGAUGUCAGGCAAUAAGCAGUAAAUGACACAGGCCAGAUGGGGUGGGAAAGGGGACGCUGUGUUUGUGUGGGGGCUCCGGGUCUCCCCCUUCUGAUCGUCCAGCUCUUCCCUCCUAAGGACUUGGUGAAGUCCUUGAGACCCUUGCAUAGCUAUUCCCCCUGCCCAAACCAGCAAUCUCCUCUCUUCAGGUUCACACUCAACGUCACCUCCCUAGACAGUCCCUCACUGGCUGGGCAUGGUGACACACACCUGUAACUCCAGCACUCGGGAGGCCUAGGCUAGAGGAUCCCAUGAAUUCCAGGCCAGCCUGAACCACAUAGUAAGACCCUGUCUCAACAAGAGAAAAAAAAAGAAAAUCCCUCGCUGACCCCAGGGUGCUCACUAAUCCAACACCUGAUUCCUUUCCUUCACUGUUUCUCCCAUCUGUAAUUAUCGCGGCCGUUUAUUUGUCACCUGGAUACUGUCUUCUGUCUCUAGAAUGUCAGCCCCAGCUUACUGCUGUAUCCCCGCCCUCCCCCCUGCACCUGGUAGGAACUCAGUUCAUUAAAAUGUGUGAGUUUGAGCAAACAAAUAGACCUGCAUGCAGCAGAGGGCAGGGAGGCCUCUGGCAGUCCGUAGUGGCCCCCCGAGACCCAGAAGCAAAGGGGACUGAGCCUGUAUCCUGCUUUCUCACACUUCUGCCUUGGGCAAGUUAGGCUGCAGUCUGCCUGCCUGAUGUCCUCAUUUCCGGCAAUGUGAAGGCUCCCAGGCACGGGCCUCGGCUCACACCUCCAGCCCAGACAAAAAGCCUGCCAGGCAGCAUAGAGCAGGGGGACUCACGCCAGGGCAGGUUUCCCAGCAGCCCCCGGGGGGUGGGCUGGGCCUCGGAGCACAUGCAAAGGGCCUGUGUCCACCAUCAAGGACAGCCAACCAGAUCCAGGACCCUGGGGCCAGGCCCUCAUACACCCUGGACUAUGUGCCAGAAAAUCACAGAUCCUCCACCCUGGGACCUGCCUCCAACUGAGCUGCCAACCAGAAGCCUCUAGGCUUGGCCCAGAAAGGCAGCUGUCACUAGAGAAGGGGUGAGUGACAGAGACAGGUGGUGCUCACAGCACAUCCUGCUCCGUCCCAAGGCGGUCUGUCACCCUGCUUAAAAAGGCAAGAUUCAGCCAGGCAGAGUGGCACGCCUGGAAUCCCAGCACUUGAGAGGUUGAGGCAGGAGGAUCGCUGCAAGUUCCUGGCCAGCCUGGGCUACACAGUGAGUUCCAGGCCAGCCUGAACUGGGCAGCGAGACCCUGUCUCAAAACAACAACAACAAAAAGCCAAGUUUAGUGGCACAUGCCCGAAAUCUGCCAGCACUUGGGCAGCUGAGGCAGGAGAAUCACAAGUUUGAGGCCAGCCUGGACGACUAGCAAGAAUUUGUCUCAAAACAAACGAACAAAGUGAAAUUAUAAAAACUGGGGAGGGAGGUAGCUUAGUAAAGGGCAACUGGGUUUGAUCUCCAGUGGGGGCCCAGGUAGAGCAAGUCACGCAAACAGAAUACCACUGUUUGGAGACAUGGGAAAUCGUUGGGGUGGGCCCAGCACCCCCCACCCCGGUCAGGACCUCCCCAGUGGAGAGCAGACCUUCUUCCUGAAAAGCCUGUUUCCAUGACUGCAGCACCACUUUGUCCUUCUGCCCAUAGUGGCCACUGAUUAUGUGCAUUGCACUGUGGCUAGACCAGGGAGGGCUGCAAGGGGCCAGUCCCCUGGGGCAAGGGGAGCAUGCAGAGAGACAGCUGUGCAAAGGCCCUGGGGCCAGAACAAAGAGCAGAUGGAGGGGCCGGAGCUAAGUGGGGGAGCAGGUUGAGAAACUGAUCCCAGGAUCUGCGUCUGGGCGAAAGGGGCAGCAGGGUGCAGAGGCACCUGGACCCACUGGCGGGCAAGUGCUCACCCUGCUGCUGUUCAGAGAGAUGUGCAUGAGAAUCCCUCCUCUCCCAGCGUAGAUAUCUGCUCUGCAGCCCAAGUGCGCCAGGGUCUGGGGAACCCAGAGGCUCCUUUCCCGCAUCUGUGCCACAUCGCUGCCUCCCA